RNAcentral lists this ribosomal RNA (403 nucleotides) under Fusobacteriota bacterium. RNAcentral describes it as "Fusobacteria bacterium partial 16S ribosomal RNA". It matches the Rfam family "Bacterial small subunit ribosomal RNA", at positions 355 to 776 of the family's 1533-position model. Lineage: Bacteria; Fusobacteriati; Fusobacteriota. The record is from RNAcentral.
UGGGGAAUAUUGCACAAUGGAGGGAACUCUGAUGCAGCGACGCCGCGUGAACGAAGAAGGCUUUCGAGUCGUAAAGUUCUUUUAUAUGGGAAGAUAAUGACGGUACCAUAAGAAAAAGCCCCGGCUAACUACGUGCCAGCAGCCGCGGUAAUACGUAGGGGGCUAGCGUUGUCCGGAACCACUGGGCGUAAAGGGUUCGCAGGCGGAAAUGCAAGUCAGGUGUAAAAGGCAGUAGCUUAACUACUGUAAGCAUUUGAAACUGCAUAUCUUGAGAAGAGUAGAGGUAAGUGGAAUUUUUAGUGUAGCGGUGAAAUGCGUAGAUAUUUAAAAGAAUACCGGUGGCGAAGGCGACUUACUGGGCUCAUUCUGACGCUGAGGAACGAAAGCGUGGGUAGCAAACAGG